This 253-nucleotide ribosomal RNA is filed under the name uncultured prokaryote. Its description in RNAcentral is "partial 16S ribosomal RNA". It matches the Rfam family "Bacterial small subunit ribosomal RNA", at positions 524 to 776 of the family's 1533-position model. The record is from RNAcentral.
CACGGGGGGAGCAAGCGUUGUUCGGAAUCACUGGGCGUAAAGGGCGUGUAGGCGGUCAAGUAAGUGGGAUGUGAAAUCCCUCGGCUCACCCGAGGACCGGCAUCUCAUACUGCUUGGCUUGAGUACGGGAGAGGAUGUGGGAAUUCCUGGUGUAGCGGUGAAAUGCGUAGAUAUCUGGAGGAAUACCGGUGGCGAAGGCGGCAUCCUGGACCGGCAUUGACGCUGAUGAGCGAAAGCUAGGGGAGCAAACGGG